Long non-coding RNA from Cyprinus carpio (common carp), 2556 nucleotides. RefSeq lists it as uncharacterized. Lineage: Eukaryota; Metazoa; Chordata; Actinopteri; Cypriniformes; Cyprinidae. The transcript has 4 exons. The record is from RefSeq and is a predicted model, not a curated record.
GCAUCAUUACAGCCCUGUAUUGGAGUGUGUGAUUGUAUAUUGCUUGUGUAGAGUGUCAAGCGUGCGUGCUACACAUUGUGCCUGGAGAGAUUGAUGUUUUGUCAUCCACCUGCUUCUAAGCUGUAAAAGCAAGCGCAGCAAAGGCAAACCUACCCAGCUUCAAAAUCCAAACAAAGAAAUCUUAGUGGGCUGUUUACAUAUCUGUGCAAGGAUAUCUGUGCUUGUGUUGACGGGGUGCUAGAGUGGCUGAGAGAUCAGUCCCCGCACAAUGGACGAGUGGGAAAUCAAAGACUGGAAUGCUGGGAGAACGCUGGAGAAAUUGACGAAGGGGUGAGCUCUGGAAAGGAGGACAGAUACUUCCUGUUCCUUCUGGAGUGACCCGCAGGUCUGAGGAGGAGUGAGGGAGAGGAAGGUGGAGAAAGUUAUUUAAAAAAUUCUUUCCAAGUACCCAGUGAAACCUGCUAAAGUACCCUCUGGUGUAAACAUACCCCUGGUUGGGAAUCAACGAUGUGAUGGACAAACAAGCACAAACUUGGCGAUAUCUGCAUCAAAUCUCCCAGCUGGUUACACAAAGCAGAUGGCUGCAGUGGCCCGAGUCAUCACAGCACUGACGUAUGGACAGUCUAAUCGAAUUAUUACAGUUCCUAGUUCAUCACAGAACAGAGCCUGAUGUUUACUUCUCAUAUAUUUCUUAGACAACUAUACAUAUUGCAUGAAUGUUGCUAUUGGGUUUGGGAUAUGUGGGUGUUUAUUUUUCACUGCCUGCUUGUUUAUUUGUUGUUGUGUAAACUGUUUUUUUAUAUACUUCCAAUAUUUUGGCUUGUUUUGUUGCAUUACUGAUAGCUUGUGCAUUAUUUUUCAUCCACUGUAACAUUCAAAUUGUCAUUGAUGAUGUUAAAUGCCUUGCUGGAGAAAGUCAGUUUCUGUAAAUGCCCAAACUUUACUUUUCUGACCUAUUUUGGUUAUUUCAAUUAGCCUUUGGAACAUAUCCUGCAAUACUGCAAGGAUAACAAACAGUUAUUGAACACAAGUUGAUCUAAGUUUGGGGCAUGUUGUCACAAUAUAUAGUUCAGGUUAUCACAAUAGAACCUGCAAUUAAUGAAACAGCAGAAAUGUAAAAGGGAAACUGUCAAUAAAUAUAAAUAAACAAUUUAAAUUUCUAUUUUAAUACAUUUAAUAUAUUUUAAUAAAAUGUAGUGAAUUUCUUCAUGGUCAUGAUGCUACUUUGGUGUUUAAGAAACAUGUAUUAAUAUCAUUACAAUAAAAGCAUGAAUUUCUUCUAAAUAAAUAAAUACAAAACAGAAGAAAAAAAAAAAGACUGAUGACUGCUGACAUGAUGUGAACCUUUCAGUUAAAACAUGCAUUCAGUACAUUCAGGAAUUCUGUUUGGAGGAGAAAAUAUGUUAGUUGGAAACCAACAUACUAAAACUCUGCUACAUAUUUCAAUCACCUACUACUGUUAUUUGCGCAUUCCGUUAGUGCAUUCAGUGUCACACCUUAUGAUUACACCUCAUGUGUCUUCAUCUGUGUCCUCCUCUUCCUCGUUUCCUCAUUUCCCCCUUCCAUAUUGUGCUGCCGCUCCCAGUCUUAGCAGGAACCACAGGGGAUCUUGUUUAUUUACUCUCUUCUUGGGAAUCAAAGCUGUCGCAAUCACACGCUGCCAACUUUAUGCCCAUCCACCCACCCCCCAUUCCCUGUUUUGUGUCUUCCUUUCCCCAGACACUUCUGCCUCCCACUUCCAUCACUGGGGGGUCUUGCACGACGAAGGGCCGAUGGCCAAGCAGGGCUCACCAGUCGCCGAUAAAGCGUGUGGAAGUCUCACAUAUGGAGUUUGUUGAGUGGAGUCGGUGACAGAGAAUGAGCAGAAGUCCCGACGGUGUUGAUUUGUACUAUGGCAGGGACCCCCAUGCCUAGUAAGACCUCAGACACUGCAUAGUGUCUGACACCACCCUAAUACAGCAUAUGGAAAUGAGGCAUGCAUAUGGCUGCAGCUAGGUGAGAUCUGACCCCCGCUUUGAGGGAGGGUUGUAAAUCAGUCUCAGUAGAUAUGAGAAUAUUGCGAUGUGGAGGUAACGCACACAAAGGUGCUUCUUCGCUUGUAUAUUUUAUGUUUGUAGCCCAUAGUUUCCAUUUGUUUUCACAUUCUCAUCUGAAAUCCUAUCAUGAGGCUGUAAUAAUGUGAGGGUAUGUGUGUGGUGGAGAGUGUGAUAAAAAAAGAAAGAUUUUGAGUUUGUUUGCAUUAGCUCUGGAGUAGAUGAAUCACUAUGUGUGUUCUAGUGCGAUAUAUUUGUGAAUGUGUGUAAUAAGGGAGUUCACAGAGAGAUAAGUGUACCACAUUGUAAUAUUCAUGUUUGGUCAGGUUUUAACCACAUGAAACUAGGCAUGAGAAACAUACCAAAUGGAUCUCAAAAGUAGGAGGGAAAAACAAUUUAAUAAGUUUACCCUAUAAAGGUAUACUCUGCCCAAAAUUAAAACCAUCAUCAUUUACUCGCCCCAAAGCCGUCCUAGAUGUACGACUUUCUUCCUUUUCUCAGAUUAACACGAAAGAAAGAAAGA